GAGGGUGUAGCUCGAGUGGUGGAGUGUGUGUUUAGCAUGCAUGAGGUCCUGGGUUCAAUCCCCAGUACCUCCU
This 73-nucleotide transfer RNA is filed under the name Camelus bactrianus (Bactrian camel). It matches the Rfam family "tRNA". From Rfam's summary of the family: Transfer RNA (tRNA) molecules are approximately 80 nucleotides in length. Their secondary structure includes four short double-helical elements and three loops (D, anti-codon, and T loops). Further hydrogen bonds mediate the characteristic L-shaped molecular structure. tRNAs have two regions of fundamental functional importance: the anti-codon, which is responsible for specific mRNA codon recognition, and the 3' end, to which the tRNAs corresponding amino acid is attached (by aminoacyl-tRNA synthetases). tRNAs cope with the degeneracy of the genetic code in two manners: having more than one tRNA (with a specific anti-codon) for a particular amino acid; and 'wobble' base-pairing, i.e. permitting non-standard base-pairing at the 3rd anti-codon position. Lineage: Eukaryota; Metazoa; Chordata; Mammalia; Artiodactyla; Camelidae. RNAcentral also lists the same sequence under 1 other name. The record is from Rfam by way of RNAcentral.